RNAcentral lists this long non-coding RNA (344 nucleotides) under Anser brachyrhynchus (Pink-footed goose). RNAcentral describes it as "lncRNA (ENSABRG00000020892.1)". Lineage: Eukaryota; Metazoa; Chordata; Aves; Anseriformes; Anatidae. The record is from RNAcentral.
GGCGGAGCCCGGUACCGGGGCUCUUGGAGCCGGGCCCGGGCCCGCAUCCGGCAGCGCCCCGAUAGCGCUUAUCGGGGGCACCGGGCGGCGCCGCGCCCCGCCCGCGCCGCGGCCCCUUUAAGGCGCGGCCGCCCCCCCCCGCUGCGGGGGGGGGAGGGGGCGUGGCCAUCGGGCGAGGCCCCGCCCCUCGCCCCUCUCUUAAAGCCGCAGAGCGCCCCGAGAGCCCCGCUAACGACGCAGGUCCCGCCGCGAUGCUGCUGCUCCGCGCAGUCACCGGGCGCAGGCUCCCGCUGCCGCUGCCCCGCCGCGGCUGUUCCCGGACGGGCGCCGCCCGCUUCGCCGCC